Molecule: ribosomal RNA, 347 nt
Filed under: uncultured bacterium
Lineage: Bacteria
Description: partial 16S ribosomal RNA
Rfam family: Bacterial small subunit ribosomal RNA
Source: RNAcentral
CCUACGGGAGGCAGCAGUGAGGAAUAUUGGUCAAUGGGCGCGAGCCUGAACCAGCCAAGUAGCGUGAAGGAUGACUGCCCUACGGGUUGUAAACUUCUGUUAUAAAGGAAUAAAGUGAGGCACGUGUGCCGUGUUGUAUGGACUUUAUGAAUAAGGAUCGGCUAACUCCGUGCCAGCAGCCGCGGUAAUACGGAGGAUCCGAGCGUUAUCCGGCUUUAUUGGGUUUAAAGGGAGCGUAGUUGGGUUGGUAAGUCAGUUGUGCACGUUUGCGGCUCAACCGUAAAAUUGCCAUUGAUACUGGCAGCCUUGCGUACAGUUGCGGUAGGCGGCCUUCUUGUUGUAGCGCU